AUGAACGCUGGCGGCGUGCCUAAUACAUGCAGGUCGAGCGCACGGACGAGAAGCUUGCUUCUCUGAUGUUAGCGGCGGACGGGUGAGUAACACGUGGAUAACCUACCUAUAAGACUGGGAUAACUUCGGGAAACCGGAGCUAAUACCGGAUGAUAUUUUGAACCGCAUGGUUCAAAAGUGAAAGACGGUCUUGCUGUCACUUAUAGAUGGAUCCGCGCUGCAUUAGCUAGUUGGUAAGGUAACGGCUUACCAAGGCAACGAUGCAUAGCCGACCUGAGAGGGUGAUCGGCCACACUGGAACUGAGACACGGUCCAGACUCCUACGGGAGGCAGCAGUAGGGAAUCUUCCGCAAUGGGCGAAAGCCUGACGGAGCAACGCCGCGUGAGUGAUGAAGGUCUUCGGAUCGUAAAACUCUGUUAUUAGGGAAGAACAUAUGUGUAAGUAACUGUGCACAUCUUGACGGUACCUAAUCAGAAAGCCACGGCUAACUACGUG
RNAcentral lists this ribosomal RNA (496 nucleotides) under uncultured bacterium. RNAcentral's name for it is "partial 16S ribosomal RNA". It matches the Rfam family "Bacterial small subunit ribosomal RNA", at positions 29 to 507 of the family's 1533-position model. The record is from RNAcentral.